CCUACGGGAGGCUGCAGUGGGGAAUAUUGGGCAAUGGGCGCAAGCCUGACCCAGCAACGCCGCGUGAAGGAAGAAGGCUUUCGGGUUGUAAACCUCUUUUGACAGGGAAGAGUAGAAGACGGUACCUGUUGAAUAAGCUAUGGCUAAUUACGUGCCAGCAGCCGCGGUAAUACGUAGGUGGCAAGCGUUGUCCGGAUUUACUGGGUGUAAAGGGCGUGUAGCCGGGUUGACAAGUCAGAUGUGAAAGCCUGCGGCUUAACCGCAGAACUGCAUUUGAAACUGUUGAUCUUGAGUACUGGAGAGGCAGACGGAAUUCCUAGUGUAGCGGUGAAAUGCGUAGAUAUUAGGAGGAACACCAGUGGCGAAGGCGGUCUGCUGGACAGCAACUGACGGUGAGGCGCGAAAGCGUGGGGAGCAAACAGGAUUAGAUACCCCGGUAGUC
This 442-nucleotide ribosomal RNA is filed under the name uncultured bacterium. Its description in RNAcentral is "partial 16S ribosomal RNA". It matches the Rfam family "Bacterial small subunit ribosomal RNA", at positions 338 to 795 of the family's 1533-position model. The record is from RNAcentral.